UACAGAGGUGGCGAGCGUUGUUCGGAAUUACUGGGCGUAAAGGGCGCGUAGGCGGCCUUCUAAGUCGGACGUGAAAGCCCCAGGCUUAACCUGGGAACUGCGUCCGAUACUGGGAGGCUUGGAUUCGGGAGAGGGAUGUGGAAUUCCAGGUGUAGCGGUGAAAUGCGUAGAUAUCUGGAGGAACACCGGUGGCGAAGGCGGCAUCCUGGACCGACAUCGACGCUGAGGCGAGAAAGCUAGGGGAGCAAACAGG
Molecule: ribosomal RNA, 253 nt
Filed under: uncultured bacterium
Lineage: Bacteria
Description: partial 16S ribosomal RNA
Rfam family: Bacterial small subunit ribosomal RNA
Source: RNAcentral